AAUCUAAAACAACUAUCUGUUUCCCUUCGGAUACAAUGAAACCGAAAAUUCACUUCAACCCUUAUAAAUUGGAGAGGCUUAAUAGCAGGAUUGAUCUUCACAUACGCUCUCAGUUUAUCUUCUAUCUUCAAUUGGAGCUGCACAUCCUCAUCCUCGACGAACAUAUCUGUCCUCUUCCAUCUUCACCACAUAUGGAUCCCUAUCAAUGCUGACCGGUUCAGAUUCCACGUUUUAAGUCCAACUGUGGACUCAGUGGAGACCUCUAUGGUAAUCUCUGAAACGGUCUUCAGCUUAUCUUAUAUGCGUUGUAUUUGAUGCAUAUUAUUGAGCUUCUUUUCUAAUUUCACUUUAUUACCACUAUUGUUGUUUACGGGUUUAAGAUACUUUGGUAGCAAAUCGUAUAAACAACAAGAAAACGUAGAACUAGAAAUUAAAACUUUUUGUUUUGUUUACGUUCUAAUUCUUCUAUAUUCUUCUAUAUUUUGCCUACUGCUUUGUUACUUUUAUAGAUGAUCUCCAUUGAAAAAAGGCUUACGUUUACAUGAACAAGAUGAAUCAGGUAAAGUAUUGUUUUCCAUGUUUCUAAAACGCUACGAGAUGAAUCAGGUAAAGGCUCCAUAUUCCCACAAUAUAUGUUUAAUGUCUCCAAAGCUCUGUCAAACAUAUAUUUAUGUACAAUAUCUUAAUACAAAACUGGCUUACAAACUGAUAAUUGAUUGUGCAUAAACAAACGAACAGGUCAAUGGAAUAUAGCAGACUUAAGGCUAGGGUUGAUCUUUGGGAGAGGAACCAAAGGUACUGAUACAUUUUAGUAAUGAAAAUGUAUAAAUAUGUUAUAAUUUUCUUACUUAACAUUGGGGAUUAACAAAAGUGAGGAUGAUAUGGAUUCAUUGCCGACAUUAUGUGGGAAAAGAUUUAGAAUCAAUUGCGCAAGGAAACUCCAGACUGGACAUUUCUCUUGCUCCAGAAAAGCAUGUAUGUAUAUCUUCCUUAUGGGCACAUACACACGCACACAUCUCUGUAAAAUGUUUGAGUUUGUGCAGAUAUAAAUAUAUGCCUAACUAUUGUAAGUGAUUUAAAAAGAUUCUUUUUUUUUAUCACUAAAACUAUAGUUAUAGGUCAUAAUAUAGUGUUAUAGAGAUGAAUGAAUGAAUAUAAUUUUGACUCAUUGGUGUGUAAUCAACUUAUGUACGAGUCCCUCAACCACCUUCAAAAAAAGGUACGUUAACACCACUUCAUCUCUGAAGUCGUGACUUAUGUAAGCGGGGAUGCCGGCACCAAUACAUCUCUUAUAUUGGAAGACUCAUGAGGGACUUAGGCAGUACCGUGCGAAGAGUUUUAAGGACCUAAGGCAAGUUUUAAAAAUAAAUUUAUUUACAACCGCAAUGAAAACAAUUUUCUAAUAUGAUAUAUUAUUUUCAUCAAAUACACAAGUUUAAUACUGUAAAAGAAUAAGUUUAUAAUGUAAAUAUGUUAUAUUAUGUCAUAUAGAAAAAAAAUACAUGAAUUCAGAAAGUAAGUUAAUUAAUUUUCGUAGAAAUGUUUUUUUUCUUAAAUAAGUCUAAACCACUAGACUAUAAAUUAUUUUAAAUUUUGGGACUUUAAAAAAUUAUGUUAAUCGGAGGCCUGAAGCGAAUGCCUUUUUCAAUACACUGUAGGCACACCUCUAGACUUAGGUAUGGAGAUUUUUAUUGGUGGGAUUUUCAAGUUCAUGUGUUCUACUCCACUUCAUUCUUGAACUUGAGCUAACAACUUUAUAUUUCUAUAAAAUUAUUUUACCAAAAAAAAAAAAAAAAAAAAAAAAAAAA
Brassica rapa (field mustard) is the source of this 1808-nucleotide long non-coding RNA. RefSeq lists it as uncharacterized. NCBI's taxonomy places the organism in Eukaryota, Viridiplantae, Streptophyta, Magnoliopsida, Brassicales, Brassicaceae. The record is from RefSeq and is a predicted model, not a curated record.